AUACUCCGGUUCCUCUUCAUAUUGUACACAUAUUUUGCCUUUUACUAAAGAUUUCUGAGGAGGGGAAUAACUUUAAGUCCUACUUUAAUUCUAUGAGGCCAUGCUUUGAUACAGCU
Small nuclear RNA from Cynocephalus volans (Philippine flying lemur), 116 nucleotides. RefSeq annotates it as U5 spliceosomal RNA. The transcript has a single exon. The record is from RefSeq and is a predicted model, not a curated record. NCBI's taxonomy places the organism in Eukaryota, Metazoa, Chordata, Mammalia, Dermoptera, Cynocephalidae.